Molecule: non-coding RNA, 16830 nt
Organism: Rattus norvegicus (Norway rat)
Lineage: Eukaryota; Metazoa; Chordata; Mammalia; Rodentia; Muridae
Source: RefSeq, a predicted model, not a curated record
AUCCCUGUGACCCGCAUGUUGGAAGAAGAAACUCAACUUUCACAAAUUGAUCUCUGCCCUGCGCAUUGCUGUCACAUGCAUGCACACACUACACAGACACACAGACACACAGACACACAGACACACACACACACACAAAAUAAGUAAUUGUACUAUUACUACUAAAAAACAUUAGGUGGCUGGAGAGAUGGCUCAGUGGUUAAGAGAAUUCACUGCUCUUCCAGAGGUCCUGGGUUCAUUUCCCAGCACCCACAUGGUGCCUCAAAACUGCAACUCCAGUUCUAGGAGACCGACAACCUCACACAGACAGUCGUGCAGGCAAAACAUUAAUGUACAUAAAAUGAAAAUAAAUAAAUUAUAAGAACGGAACAACCCCCAGACCCGGAACAUUAAAGUUUGAGGGUACACUGGCAGGAUGCCCCUUUUCACCAAGAACCCAGUUUUAUAUUCUAGAAGACAUGGGCCAGGAGGAUUCUGAAUUGAGUUCAAGGCCUGCCUGGGUAAACCUAGCGAGACCCUGUUUCUCAGAACCAAAACAAAAACCUAACGAGCUAAAGGAGGAGGUAAUGAAAUGUACCCAGGGGCUAAACACAUGCCCUGCAUAAAAAGUCCAGCACCAAAUAAACAAAACAAGCUCAGAUAAUCUCCCUGCCACCUGGAUGGGGCGCAGCACAGCAGACCCAGCUUUGCGAGUGUUUUAGUGGGAUUGAAUUGUACAGACACAUGGAUGGCUACAGGCGGGGAAACAGUUUACCAAAGGAGAGAAACAGAGAACUCCAGAGUCCACCAGACCCAGGCUGAGGCCCAGCUCCAAAAGGGACCAGUCCCACAGAUGGUCCCUGAACAAAUUGUCUGCCUGAUCCAGCAACUCACAAGCCUGAUCUCAGAGGACUGUGUUUCCGGGUGAGGCUGGGAUAACCCCACUUCGUUCGUGUGGAGGAAGACUAAGUCACAUUAGCGUUGGUAACAAAGAUGGGGCCGGCUUGGCCAGGGAGAUGCGUGGUUCACUUGUCUUCCCCAGCUGUCAUCUGACCUCAUCUUCACCAGCCCUCUCCCCCUCAACCCUAACCUCAGUUCACAAAGAGGACUCCCUCCCCAUGUUAGAAAACAAAACUAUUGCGUAUGUGGACGUACACAGGAGUGCAGGUACCCCCAGAAUCCAGAAGAGGGUAACUAACUCCCUGGAGCUGGAGUUACAGACAAUUGUGAGCAGCCCAAUAUGGUUGCUGGGUCAGACUUGGGUCCUCUGCAAGGGCCGCAGGUGCUCUCAACCGUGAGCCAUUUCUGCAGCCUCUGCCUUCUUCUUUCUUUCCUUCCUCCUUUUUCUGGUAGGACACUGGCAGUUGUUGGCUUUGUUUGUUCCUCCUGGCUGAAUUUUUCUUCAUCUAAACAGCAAACUUGACACUCUGAGUGAUGGCUUAAUUUUCUUACGAUUAGAGACAGAUGCGGUUUCUAGCGAGUGAAACAGCUGCUUUUCACAAACCUCUCCACACUCCGAGCUGACGCGCUCUUUGUGGGAGGCUGACACAGAACACACAUGAGUUUGGUUCUGUUAAUGAAGCUGUUGUGUAUAUGCAAAGACCCAGGUGUUGACCUCACCCGGCAGUUUGGAUCAAACUCAUUUUUAAGCUUGCCUUUCAUGCCGAAAUCAGGAAACUUCUAGCACCUUUAAAGCUUUUCCUAGAUUAAUUUUAAGUUGUAAUUACCUUCCCCGUGUUCGGGACAACUUGGGUUUACAAGAGCUUACUAUGAGGGCUUUUGGUUCAUGGUAGGCCAUUCCUCAUACUCCUGUCUUGGAUCUAAUAAAUAAAGGAGGACCCUAGUGUGUAGAUUUUUUUUUUCCUUCAGUAAUGGGGAUUGAAGCUAGAGGCUUCAAUAUGACAGGCAAGUGCUGUACCACUGAGCUACAUUCCCAAUCCUCUUUGAAAAAUAUUACAUUUGUUUAGGCUUUAUUUUACAAAAUGUAUAUGGGUAUUUUGUAUGCGUAUAUGUCUGUGGCACCGCAUGCAUGCCGGUGCCUGUGGAGGGCAGAGACCGUGUCAGAUCCUCUGUAUGCUUGUCUUCGUGUAGGUGCCCGAGGAGGCAAGAGGUGCUGGAUUUCCGGGGAGCAGGAGUUGCAGGUGGUUAUGAGGCAUUUGAUUGGAGUGCUGGGAACCCGACUCAGGUCUUCUGUGCGAGCACUAUGCUCUCUUAACCAGCAGCCAUCUUUCUAGCCCUCUGGGUGUAUCUCUGAGGUAGUGUUAUAGGUUUAACCAGACGGACGACCUGCUGUGACCGUGGGCAACCCUGUCACUCUGGGGGUCCAGGACUGAAUAAGGAGAAAGUGAACUGAGCUCUGUUCAUUGUUCUCUGCUUCCUCACUGUGGAUGCCCUGUGAUCAGCUGCCUGGAGCUCCCGCUGUCAUGCACCCCCCACCAUGAUCAACUGUACCCUUAAACUGGGAACUCAAAGAAACCCUUUCUGCCCCAAGCUUCUCUUGUUGGGUGGUUUAUCCCAGUAACAAGACAGGUAACUGAUCACAGGCUAUAAGGGCUCAUCUUCCUAGUGCCCAGCAUGGCUCCUGCCCCUUCACGGACCGUCCCUAACCUUUCCAGGCUUCUCCAAGCUACUAUGUCAUCCCUCUUUCUCCCAGUGAUGACUUGACAUUCUGAGGAGAAAAUCACCUGUGAUCACAGCCCUGACCCCAUUCUGUUUGCCAUCACUGGCUCCUCAGUAGGCAGUGCAGGGCUUUGCACAGUUGGGGUAGAGGUCUGCCAACCAAUCGGCCAGCCAGCCGACCAGUCACCCAACCAGCCAACCACCCAACCAGCCAGCCAGCCAGCCAGCCAGCCAGCCAACCAGCUGAACCCAGAGAAAAAUCCAGAAUAAAAUGGAGGAGGAAGAGGAGGAGAAGGGUGAGGAAGAAGAGGAGGAAGAGGAGAGGAGGAAGAGGAGGAGGAGGAAGAGGAGGGGAAGAGAGGGAAGGGGGAGGGGGAGGGGGAGGGGGAGGGGGGAGGGACGGAAGCAGCAGCAGCAGUUGCCAGUAGUAAACCCGGCCACUCCUGUCUCACUUUCCCAAGUGCUGAGAUCAGAGGCAUGCAUCACUCCCGCUGGCCUUUCUUCUGGGAACACAAUUAAAGGCGACUGUCUGUUUCUCUCCCUUUUUGUUAAUGUUUUGCUUCUCAUUAUAUUUAUUUUGAUUUUGCAAUCAAGUGAUACUGGUUUUUCUCUUGCAGUAGUUUUAAAAUGAAUAUAAGUAAGAUUAUGAAUCCAUUUUCACUUUUUAUUUAUUUAUUUAUUUAAAAAAUACUUUUCUUUUUUUUUUUUUUUUUUUUUUUGGUUCUUUUUUUUCCGGAGCUGGGGACCGAACCCAGGGCCUUGCGCUUUCUAGGUAAGCGCUCUACCACUGAGCUAAAUCCCCAGCCCCUACUUUUCUUUUUUUUUAAAUUUAUUUAUUUAAUGUAUAUGAGUACACUGUUGCUGUCUUCAGACACACCAGAAGAGGGCAUUGGAUCUCAUUAUAGAUGAUUGUGAGCCACCAUGUGGUUGCUGGGAAUUGAACUCAGGACCUCUGGAAGAGCAGUUGGUGCUCUUAACCGCUGAGCCAUCUCUCCAGCCCACUUUAUUGUAUUUAUUUGCACGUACGUAUGCAUGUGUAUGUGUGCACACGAGCCACGGUUAGAGGAUAGAGCCCAAAGGGAACUCGGGGGAAUUCUCUUCUUCUGCCUGGUAGGUUCUGGUGAUUGAACUCAGGUGGUCAGAGUUGGCAGCAAGCACCUUUAUCCCAUGAGCCCCACAGACUUAAAAUGACAGUUCAGAAGUGUAGUUGGAACUGCUGGUACGCUGCCGGUUCAGGAAGGCAGGCUGAGGUGGCGAGAGGUGUACCGAAUGUGGUUGAAUCUUGAAGAUCUUCUACAAACAUUAACAUUUAGAAAACUGUUUUAAGAGGUGACAGGUAGCCCGAGGGGACAGCUGUGUGUCCUUUGAAAUAGCAACGCUUUUGCAGUCUGUAAGGGGACAGCACAGGCAGUUGCAGGAGCUAUAACAUCUGCUUGCUUCCCCUUGGGGACAAAGUCAGAGAAACAUUGUGGAAUUCUUGAAGGUACCAGAUGCUUGUUCUUCAGGGAACAAUCUUGCCCCUGGAGGCUACCCUGCUGGCAGAGAAGAGGCCAGGGCAGGUCACCUGCACCCACCCACCCACCACAGACCUCUCUGCAGAGCAGAGGUCAGGUUGGUUAGAGGAUAAACCGUCCAGCUGUGACAGAUUUAAUUUAGAAACAGUAUCACCCCGGACCCGUCCUCUGGGUUGGGAGGCCCCCAUCAAAGCCAAGACGUGCUAGAUUCUGCAGGGGGCUCUGUGCCCUGGGUGUCUUGACUGGGGCCUGGAGGCAGGAGGAGGUCACAGCUUUGUGGCAGUUUGAAAAAGAACAGAAAAUUGCUUUUCUGAGAAAGGACAGCAAGAUCAGCAGUGUCCCCAUCAGCUCAAAUUGGUUUGAAGUGUUAGUUUAUGCUUCUUACUUUCCUUUGAGGCAAUUUUCCAAAUGAGCAUCUUGGUGACUGGCUGCCAGGAAAUCAACUUCCUUUUUGUUUACCCGAACCAGCAGUUUCCUGGAAACAGACUGUCUGGGUCGCAGGGAAGAGUUUCUGCAGCCCCAUGACCUGUCAGUUUGGGUUCCUUGAGUGUGUCUUUCUCUGUCACAGCUUCCUCUGUCACUGUCACUGCAGGCAGGGCCGAUGACCUUCAAUUCAUAUGCUGUGUGGAGACUCUAACUCGUUUGGGCAGAGGACCACAUAAGGACAUUGGAAGAAGGAAGAUUCACUCUUCUUCCCCGGCUUACAUUUACUUGCUGGGACAUCUGUUGGAUCUACUAACCUCGUGGGACUGAGCAACUGCUAGAUCCUUGGACUUCCCAUUCACAGCUGACCAUUGUUGGGCAGUUGGACUACAGACUGAAGCUAGAGGAGGUUGGAGACACAGGGAAGAGUGGCCUCAUUGAGUGUCGAAACCAAGCUGGGCAAGGCGCCAAGGAAGACUGGCAGAGGGGCGAUGCGAAGAUGCCGUGAGUUGAGCUGGUACUCACAGAUGGGCUUGGUGGCUCUUUAUUUCCUGAGGAAAAUGCUCAGCUCACUCCCAGGGUGGUCAUACACAGUGUUGCCAUGUCUGGCUGAGACCUUGAAGACCCUACAGUGAUGAGUUAGAAAGUUCCAGGUCACAGACAAGGCAGCGGGAAUUUGGAGUGACUGGUCAGGCCAUGCCCAUAGUCAGGAGCUAGGAGAAUGGAUGUGUGUCCUAGCACUCGGCUUCCUCUGCUCUUACAGGGUCCAGAACCCAAACCCAGGGACUUGUGCUACCCACAAGAGCGGCCGAUAUAAAGGGUGUUAAGCUGGCUUAAUUGGGGUGCCAUCGUAACAGAUGACCUGGAUUUUAUCCAAACCCCCAUCUUUCCAGCAGAGUCGACCUGAAUAAUCUUUGUCAACAUGGUGCCUCAGGCUCCGGCUGAUUGAAAAGGAAAUGCCAGUAGUCCAAGCUGGAUCUUAUGGACUCCUAUCCUCAAGGGAGGUUCCCUUCUCUCAGAUGAGUAUACAUUGUGUCAAGUUGAUUUAAAACUAGCCACAUAGUAACCCACACUACACUUCUCACGGAUGGGCUGAAACAUACUUUAUACAAGUUGCUGGGCCAUGAGGCAUGCUCCUGAAGUUAGUAUUUUCCCAGACAGAAAUCGAUGGAACGCAGGACAUGUUUGAUGACCACAGAAGGACUCCAGAGAUGAUACGAGCUUCCUGCUCCAUAUCGCCAGCCAUGAGGAAGACCCAAAUGGGAUAUUUAUCUUUCCACAUUCACAUAGCUCUGGUGUGAGGCAGGGACAGCUGGCUCUAUUGGAGCCUAAGGCUCUGUCUCAGGACCCUGUCUCUGGGGCCAGGGAGAUGGACCUGUUGGUGAAGCGCUUGCCAAGCAAGUAUGAGGGCUUGAGUUCAUAUCUCCUGGACCUAUGUGAGAAUCCAGGCAAGGUGGAUACAGGGAGAGGAGAGACAGGAUGGUUCCUGGGGCUUGUGAGUCAGCUAGUCUUGCUGACUCGGUGAGAUCCAGUUUCAGUGAGGGACUCUGUCUUAAGAAAAUGAGGUGGGGUCGGGGGCUAAACCUUGGCAGUUUCCAAGAGGGAGGUGAGGCAGGUCUGCCUCCCAGGGAGGGAGUAGGGGACCAGCCUGGCAGAACCUGAACAGGACCUGGUACCCUGGGCACAGCAACCAGACAUGGACACUCCACUGGGAGUCUAGACCUCUCUAGAGAAACUGCUCAUGGCAGUUCUCGGGCCACAGGAGACCCUGGGGGCUAACACCAGACCUUCUUGAAGGUGACCUGAGCAGCGUGUCUAUCACCCCAGGACUCAGCCUUUGCCCACUGUAACUGCUCUAGCCUGUCACUUACAUACCUCCCUACAGGACUGCAUUUGAUUCAUUCCUGAACGCUCUCUCUCCGGCUCAGUGCCUUCCUUCACGGUUACUAUUCAUCCCUUCCUAAGUUCUGGCAGUAAUCCUGUGUUUGCUGGUCUUUCCCUGGCGUGUCUGUGCUCUGAAGAUACAGAAGGCCUUCUCAACCUUUCCAGAAUGUCUGGGUCAUAUAAGAAAUGUCCCAACAAUUUUCUGCAGAACAGGCCUGUCAGAAGAGCUGUCCCUCCCUGGAGCAUGUGCUGAGGGAGAGGGCAAGGCGGUGCUCGAGAAGGUGUGAGCGGUCACAGCAUCCCAGCUGACUAGGUCUUUGCUCUGUUUGUCACCAUGAGUUGCUACCCCUCUUCUCAUGCCUGUGCACAUUUGCACGUGUGUGUGUGUGUGGCCAUGGUUGCUCUCAGGAGCCUUCCUCCAUCACCCUUCUACCUUCGUCUUUGAGGCAGGGUCUCUCGUCCAAACCCAGAACCCGCUGAUACAACGUCUCCCUUGCUAGUCAGCUCAAGGAUCCUGUCUCUGCCUUCAGAGGUGGGAUUGCAGGCAGGCCAGCAUCCACAAUGGACUUUCACACGGGUUCUGGGGAUCCGAACUCUAGUCCAAUUGAUUGGCAGCAAGCACCUCCACCAUUCAGCCACCUCCCCAGCCCUCCUCGUGCAGUUUAAAAACUCUCAUUGAGACAGAACAGCUCGCACAGCGUAAACAUAAGCGGAAAGAAUGCUCACGUGACUGCAAAGCCUUCAAAGUGAUGUGAUUAGGCUCACCUGCCUGCCCUUCUGAUCUGCACUGAACACACAGCACACGAUGCUUUUCUGUUCGUUUGUUUUUGAGACUGGGUUUUCUCUCUGUAGUCCUGGCUGUCCCGGAGUUGAUUUGUAGACCAGGCUAGCCUCAAACUCACAGAGAUCCGUCCACAUCCACCACCACGCCUGAUGCAUGAUGUUUUUUUUUCACAAUGCAAUCUUUUGCUCAGUGCUGUCUUUGUGAGGCCUGUUCUGUUUCUGUGAGUAGGUGUGGGCCAUUCACUUGCUGUUUUUAUACACUCUUCUGUGUGAAUGGGAAACUAUUUUCUCAUUCUACUUUACUAGAGGUGUGGGAAAAAUCCUCUCUCAUCUUGGGAUGUGUGUAUCACAUGUGUUUAUAUGUGUUGUACUUGUGUGUGCAGAUAUGAGUACAUGCUACAGCAAGCGGCAUGUAGGUCAGAGGAGGACUGCAAGUUGCUUCUCUUUGACUACAGCAAGGACAUGGGUUUACUCGCAUGGUUUUAUAAAUGAUAUUUCAUUCUACUUUCAUGUUUAGAGGUAAUUCCUGUCUGUGGCCUAAGAAGGUGAAGGGAUGUGUCAUUUACCCAGCACUAUUCACUGAACAGAGUCUGUUUUCUCACUCCAUGACUGUCUUUAUUGCCCAUGUUAUAAGCAGAGACCCGGUACCUGUGGCUGAUCUGGUUUGAGUCUAGAAUGUUCCCCGUGGCUCCCACGUUUGAACACAUGGUCUACAGCUAUAUUGUGUCUUGGGAGAUGGUGCGGACUUUGGGACAUGGGGUCUUGCAGGUUGAAAUAGGUCACUGAGACCUUUCAGGAUGGGGCCUGCAUUUCUGGUUUCCUGAGCUGUGCUGUGUGAAGAAGCUGUUGUGACGUGGUUCUGACACUAUGGGGAAGCCAUGCCACCCACCAUGCCUUCUCCACCAUGCUGGGCUGCCUGCUCUGAACCCUCAAGUCCGCAUAAGCUACCCCACCCUUAAACAGCUUCUGCAGGCCAUCUGACCAAAGAAAUGCAAAAGUCACGCAAAGGCCUGUGUUUGUCAUUGCUCUGGACAUUACCUCACAAGCCAGUUUAUUUCUUUGUGCAAAUAUCACACAGUUUCAGUCUCUACCAUUUACCAAUAGGUCUGGAGGCAUGUAGCACAAGGCUGCCAGUUUAGUCUCAGGAUUGCCUGGCGACUUUUAGCUCCUAGUGUUUCCAUACAUACUCUGCAGUCAGAAUGUAUAGAGUUUGCCGCCUCCCAGGAACUGGGAUUUUGUUCAACAUCGUGCCUCAGUCCUUAGGUCCGUUUGGAAACGGCUGACGUUUCAAUAGCCCCAAAUCAUCCUGUCCAUAAACAUGGUAUACCUCCCCACUGAUGUAGACGGAAGGCUGGGCCUCCGAAUCCUAUCCGGGGUAGCUGCACCUCCCAGCAAGCCGCUGCUCAGCUGCUCUGGAUGCCAUGACAGAAAGCUAAGCACAGACUCCACAGCUACAGUGUUCUCAGAGACCAGCACAACCCCCCCUGCUAAGAGAUAAAAAACGUUUAACUCUUUCUCCCAGCGGCAGCCUUCCUUGUUACAGCAGUCUGUGGGCACCUUGGCAUCCUUAACACUAGGUGGCGCUUUGCAACCAGUUUUGUGCCAACUUCUAGGAUUAGGGUGGGGGAGGAGGGCUUUGGAGAGGAAGAAUGAGAGAGAGAGGGAGAGAGGGAGGGAGGGAGGGGAAGGCAGGGGAGGGGAGGAGGAGGAGGAGGGAGAGAGCAAUAGCUGUCAAUUGCUUAGUAAGUCACUCCCGAUAAACCUUUCUAACCCAUCAUGAAGGACGUGAAUGUGCCAUUCUUUGGGUCAUUGUAGUUCCAGUCUGGUGGCAGAUUUUAACUGUAUAGCUUUACCCACAAAGCCACACCAUAGUUGACUUUACAAAAAGUUCUAAGGUUUUUUUUGUUUGUUUUGUUUUUAUUUAAACUUGCAAUGGUCGUCUUUAUUUUGUUCCUUCUAUUUUGAAAGUGAAAAGAAAUAGUAUUGAGUCAAUUCCCUUUUUAUGUUUUUAAAUAUUUGUUCUAUGCAUUUACAAGCCUUAACGUUGCUCUAACGAUUUCAAUGGUAUUAAGGGUAUUUUCCAGGCUAGCACUUUUUUUUUUUUGGAACAGUUCUUGGAAUUUUCUGGUCCACAGUCCUUCCUUCUGUUCCAAGGUUAUGUAAGCUUUGAUUACUAGUGUGAUUUUUAAAUUUUCUGAAGCGAGCUGAGAGGCAGGCAGAAAGAUCUGACGUUAGGGAGUGCGGUGAGAAAGGGGAGGGGGAGGUCUUAGGUUUUUUAACUGUAGCUUCAGCAUAGACACGUUGGACAACUUUCUUUCCAUUUUUAUCUCGCUUGGCUUUCUGUGACCACUGAGUAUUUUAAACAUUCCAUUUCCCACACCUUUAAUCAGGAGGCAGAGGCAGGGGGAUUUCUGGCCAGCCAGUGAGUUCCAGGCCAGCCAGGGUUAUAUAGUAAUACCCUGUCUCAAGAAAUAAAAAUUCUGGGCUGGAGAGAUGGCUCAGCGGUUAAGAGCACCCGACUGCUCUUCCAGAGGUCAUGAGUUCAAUUCCCAGCAACCACAUGGUGGCUCACAACCAUCUGUAAAGAGAUCUGAUGCCCUCUUCUGGUGUAUCUGAAGACAGCUACAGUGUACUUAUAUAUAAUAAAUAAAUAAAUCUUUAAAAAAAAAAGAAAUAAAAAUUCUACCUCCCAACACUUUCCUGUACUCUGAUAACUUUGUUAAAUUCACUAACAGUCUCAGUGAAUAAAAGAGUUUUAUUUCUUUUAAUUUCCAAGCCUGAUAAUCUGCCCCUGCCCCGAGUUGCUCUGAAGAUGACGGGUCUCAGGGACAUGCUCUUAAAAUUUCACUGUUGAGAAAGAAAGAUGUUGGCUGAAGCAGGAGCCAUGCCUGGGAGUUCAAAUCAGAUUAAGGACAUUUCCUAGUUUGAUACACACACACACACACACACACACACACACAUUACCUGGGUGCUAGCAAUCAGUUUUAUCAUUCCUGUUGGGCUCAUCAAUAUUUUUAGGAUUUUAAGCUUUAUACUUGUGAGAUUGGCUUGUGAUUUUAAUUUUUUUGCAAGAUUUCGCCACGUUUUAGAUAAAACAGGAUCUCAUAAAAAACAGUUGCUAAGCAUCCCUUCCUUCUCCUUUCUGAAAGAAUUUCUGUGAGAUCGGUAUUCUUCCGUCUCUAAUGUUUGGAAACAGGAAGCAGCCAUCUGUGCCUGUAGCUUGCUUAGUUGGAAGGAUUUCAACAAAGAUUUUCUUUCAUAAAUAUUGGGGUAUUUAAGAUUAUUUGAUUUCUUCUUAGGUCAUUUAAAUGUUUAAAGGACUUAUUUGUCCGUUUCUUUGUGUGUGUAUAAGAGCGCAAGCCUCGCUCUCUGGCUACCAUGCCCUCUCAUCAUGACGGAUCAUAUCUCUUGAGCCCAAGCAAACCCUUCCUCCCUCAGUUGCUCAUGUAAGGUAUUUCGUCAUAGAAAGGAGAAACAUAAACAAGGCUAUUUUUAUCUUGCUUGCGUGGAAGGGAAUGCAGAGGCUUGCGAAUGCUGAGCCGGGCUUCGAUGUUGAGAUUGUGUGUUUCGUUCCCAGACUGCUUGGAACAUUUCUCCAUGACCAGUCUUCAUCGGUUUGAAUGUGUCCCGGGAUGUGUUUCCUUCAAGUUCAUUCUGUGGUUGGAUGAACUUCAUGUCUUCCAUUCCUUUGGGGAAGUGCCUGGUCAUAUCUUCAACAGUUGUCCUGCGUGACAGACAUCACAUCCGGUCCCCCGACUCCAGUUGUGCGCACACCCUAUUUGGAUCGGAAGUGUCCGCAAAGGUGUUUGAACACCUGGUCCCCAGCUGGUGGCGCUGUUUUGAGAGGUUGUUGAACCUUUCGAAGGCGGAGUCUAGCUAGAGGAAGUGAGUCUUAGGGGUGGGGCGGGUCCUAGCGGUUCCAGCCCGUUUCCACUGGUUGCCUUCUGGUGUGGACAGGCAGGCAGCUGUUUACUUGUAAUGGCAAACCCCCAACCGUAAAAUUGUUGAUGUUGCUACUUUGUAACUAAUUUUAUGGAUCUUAAUGCACCUGUGUUUUCCAACGGGAAUCCAACACCUUCUUCUGGCCUCUGUGGGCAUCUGCACAUAUUUGCAUGUCCACAUUCAAUCCUGUGUGUGUACACUUAAAUGGAAAAAAUGUAAAUAUGCAGAAAAGAAAGCCCAUAAUGGAAAAGCCUCUUAAGUUUGCAGUGUGUCUCUGAUGGUUUGUAUAGGCUUGGCCCAGGGAGUGGACUAUUAGAAGGUGUGGCCUUGUUGGAGUGGGUGUGGUCUUGUUGGAGUAGGUGUGGCCUUGUUGGAGUGGGUGUGUCACCAUGGGUGUGGGCUUUAAGACCCUCAUCCUAGCUGCCUGGAAGCCAGUCUUCUGCUAGCAGCCUUCAGAUGCAGAUGCUCUCCCUGCACCAUGCCUGCCUGGAUGCUGCAAUGCUCUCGCCUUGAUGAUGAUGAUGGACUGAACCUCUGAACCUAUAAAUCAGCUCCAAUUAAAUGUCCUUAGAAGAGUUGCCUUGGUCAUGGUGUCUGUUCACAGCAGUAAAACUCUAAGACAGUACCCCUCCUCACUGUGGCUCAGCCUGACUCUCACAAUGUUUCUAUUUUUCCCCCUCUCUCCUGGAGGAGGGGGAUGGGGAGAGGGGGUAUGGAUAGGAGUAGGGGUAGGUGAACAGGUAGGGCUAUCACUGACUCUAUCCGAGAAUCAGAUCCUCAAGUCCUUUCACUCUCUUAGGACCAGCCCCUGCCCCCUGCUGUGUCUGUACCUCUGGUGAUUUUACAUUAAAGGUUGAGGGUACUGCUGGAACUUUCUAGUGUGGCAGUUCUGUCCAACCUGGCACUUCUCAUGGCCCGACUUUACCGCUGCGUCUGGGCACAUAUUCCGGGAUGACUCUCAGUCUGCAGAAAAUCCACUUUGGAGAUUUAGCUCUCCGGGCGUUAAAUGACAAAAAUCCUCAGCCUUUCGUCCCCUCAAAUAGCCGACUUUGUAGCAAAUUAAUAAACACAAGCCCUCACUUUGGAUCAAGCUGAGACACCUGUCGGUGCGCCAGAUAAAUUGGUUUCCCCCAGAUAAACCUAAUUCCCAGAGAUAAGUCUCCAGCAAGCAUCAGGGCAGCCUUGGCUCACAACUCCCCCUGAUGGACAAGACCUUUGCUGGGUGUGUCCUCUCUCUCUCUCUCUCUCUCUCUCUCUCUCUCUCUCUCUCUCACUGGGGCUCUGUUCAGUAUGGUCAUUCCUCACAACGGUUCUCUGUGGUAAUUAAUCCCCACCUGUUUUCUGCUCACACCUCUGGGGGACAUUUCCAUCCUCUGGAGACAUCUGUGACAGCAGAGUUUGAAUUUCCUCAUCUGAUGAGCGUGUUAAGAGAGCGAGGAAAGAUCACCCAGGCUGGCUUUUCUCUGGCGUAGGAGCAACGGCCUUGGCUCUGCUCUUUCUUUACAUGAGCCCUGCCCCGUGCAGGUACAAGUAAUACUGAGAAGCUUUGUGGCUUCAUUGGGGGUGGGGAAGGCUUGGUGUCUUCUCUUUCCUCACAGCGACGUUCUAAGCAGGAAUAAACCUCCUUGGUUUACAUGGAAACUGAGUCACAGAGUUCAACAGGCCCCACAGGUGCCCUCUGUGCACCACACUUUGAGGAAACCAUAGAGAACAUUCACUCCCCCUCUACAAGCUUUAUGGGAUGCCCCCAGAAACCAGGCAACUAGUGAGAGCCACAGUAAAACUCAGCCUCAUGGGAAAUGCCAACAACAUGAAGGAUGGAAAAAGCCAAUGGUAAGAAACUGAUGUCCCAGAGGAAUCUUUCUAUCUUUUAAGUGCAGCACUGUGCUAGGCAUGGGCCGUACUUCUGGGCUACAAUUUCAUACUGAAAAAAUGUUAGACUGAAUAUUAAACUUUUAAAAAUUGCACUUGUGUGUGUGUGUGUGUGUGUGUGUGUGCAUGCCCAUAUAUGUGCUUUCCUGUAUGUGGUGUGUAUGUCUAUGUGUGUGUUUGUACAUGCAUGUGUGUGUGUUUGAUUAUGCAUGUGUGUAUGUGUGUGUCAGGAAGUCAGUGUGGAAGUCAGACAACUUGCAGAAGUUGUUUUCUUCUUCUAUUAUGUAGCCUGGCUUUGAACUCAGGUCCCCAGGCUUGGCAGCAAGCACCUUUACCCACCAAGUAAUCUUGAGUCUCUGGAUAGUUAAAAAAAAAUCCAGAAGUGAAAACAUCUUUAAAAUUAGUGUACGGGAUCAGGAGAGGCGGUUCAGUGGUUAAGAGCACUUGCUACUCUUGUAAAGGUCCUGCGUUCAGUUUCUAGCACCCACAUGGUGGCUUUCAACCAGGGGAUCCCACACCUUCUUCUGACCUCUGCAGGAACUAGGCAUGCAUGCGGUGCACAGAGGUACGAAUAGGCAGAACACUCAGACACAUAAAUGAAUCUAAAACAAAAUUAAAACCAGUGUGUGUUAAUUGCACAGAAUAAUGGGUUUCGUUGAUGUUCAGAUGUUUGCAUUCAGUUCAGAGCCUGACACUGUGGCAUCGUGGAACUGGUCAUCACUGCCACCCUUGUUUAUGUAGCUUGUGACACAGGCUUUGAUGACUGGUCCUUCCUUUACUGCCAGCAUUUCAUGAGACGUCAUGCAGUAUUUAUCUUCAAACCAGAUGGGACUAGUUUUUUGAAAUAAGCUUCUUGUCUGUUGAAAGGAGUUGUUCCUGAUCUCUAGGCUGGGAACCCUAUGCUGCUUUUCUCCGUUUUAAGAUUUAUAGCCUUUGCCCAGUUUGUCUAGAUUAGUACCCCGACUUCCCUCAUGUUCACAUUCUGUACUUGAAUAUAUAAUGAAUGCUGUAGUUUGGUGGUUAGUUUGGACUGUCAACUUGACAUAACCUACAACAGCCUCUUAACUGGGGGACUGUCUAGACUGAUCAGGUUGGUCUGUGGGCACAUUUGUGAGGGAUUGACUGUCUUGAUUGUUCAAUGAGUAGAGAGACUCAGCCCACUAUGGGUGGCACCAUUCUCUAGGCAGGGUGCUAAGACGUAUUAGAGUGGAGAAAGCUAGUCAGCAAGCAAGUGGGCAUGCAUGCAUUUAUUUCUUUCUGCUCUUGACAGUUGAUAUGAUGUGACUAGCUGCUUCUAAUGCUUGCCACUGUGGCAUUUCUGCUAUGAUGGACUAACCUGGGAAUUAUAAGCUGAAUAAACACUCAUCUGACCAACCUUAUAUCAUAGCAUUGAGAAUUGUCUUUCUACAUCAGUUUGUUUUGGAAACUGACUGAAUCAAGCCUAAGUUUAGCAUCCUGAAGCUUGCCAUGUGACCUUAUGCACAGUCCUGGGUCCCUGCUCUGAGCCAGACACUGUGAUGGCUUUGUAGUCUACCAUGCAGGGCCUGGGUUCCACCUGUUAACAUUCUGGUGCCUGCUCAGUUCUCGUCUCUGAUCCUUGUACACUUGUAGCCUGACUCAUGACCUAACUCCCAGACUCAUUGUCUUCAGGGUUCCUAGAAUGUUCUAGUCUACACCAGCCCACACAUCUUUAAGUUUCGAUAUUACCUCUCAUGAUACCGUUUUAUCUCAGGAUGGAGGAGGGGCUUUUCUGGGCUCACUCUGGUCAGAACAGUUAUGGCCCUUAAUAGGUCAGCCAGUUUACCUGACUAACUCAUGAACUCUCCAGACACAAGGACCUCUCCCUCAGUGUCUACUCUGGUUCUUAGUGUCUUGGUGGAUGACUGUCUAUGAGCUGUCUGGUGUCUUGAGAUUGUCCACAAGCUGGUUCAGCACAGCAAUUCCACCUCAAGAACCCAGGGUCUUUUGGCCACUUGAAAAACUUUGUCUUUGUUUAAUUUAAUUAUUUAUCAUUAUUGUACAUGUUUAUGGAUGGAGGCAUAUGCAUAUCAUGACCCAUGUGUGGAGGUCAGAGGACAACUUCAAGAAGCUUGUUUUCUUCUAUCAGAUGAGCCCUGGGUUUUCAGGUUUGGUGACAAGUACCUUUGUCUACGGAGCCCUCUCCCUGCCCAUCACUUUCGAUGCUUUGAAGCUAUGACCUUCCCAGAACCAUCAAACUGAGGUCUUCACAGCCACCUGCAGCAGAGGCAGCUUGGCCUCUCCUUUUCCAACUCCCUGCUUCUCUUCCACACAGCUCUGACAUUGUAGGUGAAACUCAAGGGCUGACUUCACGAUGUCUGUUGUGUGCCACUGAUGGUUCAUUUCUACCGAGUGUGUCCUCAUGAGGCUGGGUUGAAUGUUCUUAGUUCACACCUUGCUGCUGAGUAUGAUGGGCAUAUAUAAAAAGCCCAUGAAGUCUUGACCUAAGACUCAACACCCAGUCUUUAACUCAGAACAGCUUGCUUUACAGAAAUCAGGAAGAGAUACUUUGUGUGUAUUUGAUUGAACAGACAUUUCAGUUUAGGAUCAACCCUGAUCCCUGCCCCUGAAAUAGAUCUUGAUCUAGGUAGGGGCACUGAUCCAACCUGAACUGGUUUCAGGUGUGUUCACAGUCAGGCAAAUUGUAUCCUCUGAGUGAACUGUUAGGGGAAACCCUCUAUUUACUGCCCCCUGUGUUUGCACGACUGGCCGUGGUUAUAAUUAUGAUCAGUUGCAUCAUGGGAAAGGACACUGACUGUUAAUAAAGUCUCACAUAAUCUAAGCCUGUCAUUUAAAACAAAACUACCCACACCCUACCCCUGAGGCAACCCUCUCCCUUCUGAACCCUCGAAGGGAAGGCCGAAAUAUAACCCAUUGCUCAGGAGUAACUUCUGCCCAGAGCCUGUGGCUCCCUCCCAUCUGACCUGCACCCUUUGCUUCUGAAUAAAAUCUCUUGCUGUUCUGCCAUCAGUACAUACUUCUUCAGAUCUUAGAGCAAGACACCAAGAACGUGAAACACAGCCUGACAGAGACCCCAGUGACAGUUCACAGCAGACCCUGCCACUUCUGUCCUCGAGAUCUCUGUGACAUUUCUAGAACCUGAUCCCUUCUCAUCUGCUUCAGUGACUGGUGCAAGCCACCGUAUGUCUCCUAAAGACCCUCCCUGUGUCUGCCACUGCCACCCAGUCUGAUCCCCAAAGAGCAGAGAGUGCCUGAGGCGCCGUACACUCUGCUUGCACGUGUGUUCAGGAGCUCUAGGGACACGGAGAUAGGAGGAUCCUGGGACUCAAAAGCCGGCCAACCUAGCCUAGUCUGUGAGACCCUGGACAGAGGGACACAAUGUCUCAAAGAAGAUGGAUGGUAUCUGAGGAACAGUGCCCAAGGUCUCAUCUCUCUUGUGACCAGCAUCGGGGGGCCUCGAGGAGAUGACACACUGCAAAGUUCCAUUUGUGAGGAGCACCAGGACUCUGCCAGGAGGCUGGGCAGACAGCGGGUUCAGUGAAUUCGACUCAGGUCGUCAGAUUUGGUGACAAGUGUCUUUACCUGCCAAGCCCUCUCACUGGCCCUGGUGUGUGACCCUGGGGUGUGGCUCUGGUGUGUGGCCUUGGUGUGUGGCCCUGGUGUGUCGUCUUUCAGCAAGUGGACUGUAGCUCAGUAAAGUUGCUAUGUGCAAGCAAAUUCCUUCACGGGGCUUCCCACAGUCAUUAAAGCCAAAAAUACUAAGCCAAACCAAACCCCUUCCCAUGACAGUCUCCAGAAGACUCCAUUACUGAAUAAUAAAGAUAUUUUGAUUUUU